This 497-nucleotide ribosomal RNA is filed under the name uncultured bacterium. RNAcentral's name for it is "partial 16S ribosomal RNA". It matches the Rfam family "Bacterial small subunit ribosomal RNA", at positions 28 to 507 of the family's 1533-position model. The record is from RNAcentral.
GAUGAACGCUGGCGGCGUGCCUAAUACAUGCAAGUCGAGCGAACAGACGAGGAGCUUGCUCCUCUGACGUUAGCGGCGGACGGGUGAGUAACACGUGGAUAACCUACCUAUAAGACUGGGAUAACUUCGGGAAACCGGAGCUAAUACGGGAGAAUAUAUUGAACCGCAGGGUGCAAUAGUGAAAGACGGUUUUGCUGUCACUUAUAGAUGGAUCCGCGCCGCAUUAGCUAGUUGGGCAGGUAACGGGUUACCAAGGCAACGAGGCGUAGCCGACCUGAGAGGGUGGUUGGCCCCCCUGGAACUGAGACACGCUCCAGACUCCUACGGGAGGCAGCAGUAGGGAAUCUUCCGCAAUGGGCGAAAGCCUGACGGAGCAACGCCGCGUGAGUGAUGACGGUCUUCGGAUCGUAAAACUCUGUUAUUAGGGAAGAACAAAUGUGUAAGUAACUAUGCCCGUCUUGACGGUACCUAAUCAGAAAGCCACGGCUAACUACGUG